RNAcentral lists this ribosomal RNA (433 nucleotides) under uncultured bacterium. RNAcentral's name for it is "partial 16S ribosomal RNA". It matches the Rfam family "Bacterial small subunit ribosomal RNA", at positions 29 to 507 of the family's 1533-position model. The record is from RNAcentral.
AACGAACGCUGGCGGCAUGCCUAACACAUGCAAGUCGAACGAGACCUUCGGGUCUAGUGGCGCACGGGUGCGUAACGCGUGGGAACCUGCCCUUAGGUUCGGAAUAACUCCCCGAAAGGGGUGCUAAUACCGGAUAAUGUCUUCGGACCAAAGAUUUAUCGCCUUUGGAUGGGCCCGCGUUGGAUUAGCUAGUUGGUAGGGUAAAAGCCUACCAAGGCGACGAUCCAUAGCUGGGCUGAGAGGAUGAUCAGCCACACUGGGACUGAGACACGGCCCAGACUCCUACGGGAGGCAGCAGUGGGGAAUAUUGGACAGUGGGCGAAAGGCUGAACCAGCAAGGCCGGGUGAGUGAUGAAGGCCUUAGGGUUGUAAAGCUCUUUUACCCGGGAUGAUAAUGACAGUACCGGGAGAAUAAGCUCCGGCUAACUCCGUG